This 1781-nucleotide long non-coding RNA is filed under the name Linum usitatissimum (flax). Its description in RNAcentral is "long non-coding RNA (LUSI_LNC002410)". Lineage: Eukaryota; Viridiplantae; Streptophyta; Magnoliopsida; Malpighiales; Linaceae. The record is from RNAcentral.
CUUGGUAUUUCACAUUUAAUGUUACAAAAAUAAAUAUGGGGAAUGCAUUUAAAUUGGUCACGUCCAAAUUUAUUAAGAAAAAAAAUAAGAAUAUAUCAACUAGGCCAGUUGUUCUAUUCCAGAAAUGAUUGAAUAGAUCAUACGUUCAUUGUCAGUCGAAUGGUUAAGAGGCUUGUCUUGUAUCCAACAGACCCAUGUAUGAUUCCCAAUUGUGAGUUUUAAAUCUAAUUCCAUCCUCCUUCAGCAAAACAACGUUGUUUCAGUCAAUAGACAGAAGCAACUCAGCAGCCUUCUUCGCUUUUCGUCGCUUCCGCUAGCGACAGCUCUAUUUUUCCGGCGAGCUUAGUUCCAUCAAUAAUUGGAAUUUUGGCGCCCCUUAACCACUUUGGCCCUGCAUUCUUGCAUCAUGAUACACCAAAUCCUUAUAUUAACUGCUUUCCGACUCAAUAAUUCAUUGAAUUGGUCCUAAAACAUCAAAUCCAAGUUCUUUAUCGGUUUGUCUCAUUGCACCAAUUAGUUUCGUCAAUGGGGUAAGAUAUGUAGAUUUUCAUUCCAAUAAUGCAAUCCUGAAUCACCCCUUAGUUAUUAUAGACAUACCAGACCAUCCUAGAAAUCGAUAUUACCGAAGUAAUCAGGGUCGAAAUUUUUUAUGGUCUCUUAUUGUAUUCUACCCAAAGUUGUGAAAAGGCUAAUCAGUUUAAUCAAAGUUGUGAUGUGAGUUCCACGAUUUAUCAAACUAAGAAUAAAAAUGUAUAAAUAACGAAACAUUAAUACAUAUUUGCAAGACUGCUCGAUUAAGAGUUUUGACUAACUGGAUGGAACUGCUUUGACUUCAAAUCCCCCUAGGCUAUCCAAAUUCACAAAUGAUAUCCAACUUCAAUAAUUUAUGCAAAACAAGAUAAAUACAGUUCACUGUCGCAGUUCUUCACUAAUCAAAUCAUGCACUUUCGGGUCUGCUAAUUUGCUACGUAUCUACUAGCCUAGUCAGCUCUUUCGAGACAACAAGCUAAAAUCCACUAGGAUAGAAAACAAACGAGAAUUGCUCAAACGACGGAGUAGCUUAUUCGCUCCUGAAUGAGGGUUAGUGACUAACCUAACUGUUUAAUUUUGAGACGAUGAGAAAUCUAGCAAGAUCUUAUUCAAGAUGGCCAAGCAAGAAUAAGGACGAAAAUGAAAUUAAACAUAAACCAAAAUCUAUCCAACUCGCAUAAAUUGUCAAAGUCAAACAAUCAUCCUUUAUAAGGAAUUACCUAGGGUUCAUCUAAUCUAAGCACAAGGAGUUAAGCUAAUUAGAACUUCGAAGGACAAAUCAAAAUAUACAAAGGAGAAAUCGGAAAAACCUAAUUUCACCGAGAACCGUCAAAUAAAUCAAUUUACAAAUCUUGUUAUGUCUUCCGACCCGAGCUCCUUAAAGUUGAUGCCUUCUCGUGACUCCAAAGUCUCUGAACUAUGCUAUGAAUUUCGUCCCCAAAAAUUCUCUCCUUUUGAAUGGAGGAAACGGUCAUUAAAUAGAAUUUUAGAUCCUUCUUUCAGCCGGAUUUGUCGAUAAUUGAGCCUAAAAGUUUUCAAAGAUUAAGCCUGAGGGUUGAGCAUAAUAAUUCUAUAUAGGCUCAUGGUAAUAUGAAGAUCCGUAAGGAUAUUCAUGAUGGUAAUGAUAUGGCGAUGACUCUAUGUAACUUAAGGGAGGUUGAUUAUGAUAGCUCCAUGCAGGCAUCUGGUACUAUGAAGGAGGGCAAGGAUUCACAUACCAAGAUUGUGAUGGUUGAUCCUCGUUGUGAUUC